GAUGAACGCUGGCGGCGUGCCUAAUACAUGCAAGUCGAGCGAACGGACGAGAAGCUUGCUUCUCUGAUGUUAGCGGCGGACGGGUGAGUAACACGUGUAUAACCUACCUAUAAGACUGGGAUAACUUCGGGAAACCGGAUCUAAUACCGGAUGAUAUUUUGAACCGCAUGGUUCAAAAGUGAAAGACGGUCUUGCUGUCACUUAUAGAUGGAUCCGCGCUGCAUUAGCUAGUUGUGGGGGGAGCGGCUUACCAAGGCAACGAUGCAUAGCCGACCUGGGAGGGUGACCGGCCAGAUGGGGAAUGAGCUACGGCCCAGACUCCGACGGGAGGCAGCAGUGGGGAAUAUUGCACAAUGGGCGGAAGCCGGAUGCAGCAACGCCGCGUGCGGGAGGACGGCCUUCGGGUUGUAAACCGAGUUCGCCUGUGACGAAGCGUGAGUGAAGGUAAUGGGUAAAGAAGCACCGGCUAACUACGUG
Molecule: ribosomal RNA, 477 nt
Filed under: uncultured bacterium
Lineage: Bacteria
Description: partial 16S ribosomal RNA
Rfam family: Bacterial small subunit ribosomal RNA
Source: RNAcentral